Molecule: long non-coding RNA, 590 nt
Organism: Saccostrea cuccullata (small rock oyster)
Lineage: Eukaryota; Metazoa; Mollusca; Bivalvia; Ostreida; Ostreidae
Exons: 3
Source: RefSeq, a predicted model, not a curated record
GCAUAUACUAAGGAUCUGUCAAACCAUUUGCGUUUACUCAAAUCUCUGAACAUACCCUAGCUUGGUUGUAUGGAAAAUUUAUGACGUACCAGAGGCGAUCGUUUUGCUGCAUUCUGUAGGUCUAUAGAAAUGGUAUUUUUUCCAUUGACACUACUAGCACAUUAAAAUUAUAAGUAUGUCAAAGACAAUCAAGGAUUAAAAUGACAAAGAACUAAGUCAAAAUGCUGCCGUCCCGAUCAAAAGGAAGAAAGCAAAAGCAGACCGAUGGGCUACCACUACCUUUUGUAAAGAAUACUGGUUGAAAAUGAGGGAGACAAUAUACCAGUUGGAUCAGCAACAGUUGUCCAUGUGCUGCAGUAUUUAUUGGAUCCAACCAAAUCAGAAGAGAAAACCCUGAAGCAAAUUCAUAUGGUAAAACAGGGUUUUCUAAGAGAGGAGGAUCACAGGAGUGGAACUGUUUCAUUUACCCAACACCUUGAGCUGACUGAUCAAGGGAAAUAUGAAGCAGUUUACAGAUGAAAGUCCUGCUGGAAGCACAGAGAUUAAUACUGAACAAUACAUGUAUUACCUCUGUCCGGACUCAUCAUAAC